AUUUUAGCGCAGGAGUCUAAUAAGGCGGAAUCUGCGCAAUAUUCCGGAUAGACAAUAUUUAAAAUGCUCGCGACCGAUAAUGAUGCUCUUAGAGCAAUUUACCCAAAAUGGAGUUGAAUCGUAUUAGUGCACUGUAAACCCAGCAAUACUCUUUAAAGAGUAAAAAAUAAACAGUUUUUACCGAUAUAUGGAGCUGUCAAAAUAAUGGGUGAUAUUUUUUUGGGAAUAAUGCAUAUUUUGUAACCAUUUCCAUGUUCCUUGUGUUUACUCAUUAAUGAGUGAAAAACAAGUUGAAGUUUUAAACAAACAACUGAAGAAACUGUUGGUGGAAGCUCCGAUGGAUGAAUGCCUUCGUUUCGUACUGUUUGUUCUGGUCACAGAAAAAGUCGGAACGGAAUGGACGUAGCCAGACACAAGCGAUUCAGACGAGAUAUCGACAUGCGGAAAUUCUUCCCAACUGGAUCCGAUCCUUUACAGCUACGUGGUGCUGAUGCUCCCAAUGAAUAGCACGGCGCGGCACCGGCACGAUUUGAAAUCCGCGGAGGAAUGGAGGAAUUUCAUACGUGAUUAAAUUGACUAUCUCGGUAUGCUGAUCUCCGGAUACUCCAAGUGAUGCUGAGAGAAUCGGAAAACAGAGUGUUUGCCGUAGUAAAUUCGGUCUGUUCGGUGUUUAUUUAUUUACAAGAUGAUACGCGACACAGGGAGGCAAACCAGGCCAAUAAGAAUUUAGUCUACUGCUUUCAUAUAAUAUCUUAUUUAUGUGUUAAUAAAUUAUAAUAUGUAAGGUCAUUAUGAAUAAAUAAAACAAAUA
Molecule: long non-coding RNA, 811 nt
Organism: Armigeres subalbatus
Lineage: Eukaryota; Metazoa; Arthropoda; Insecta; Diptera; Culicidae
Exons: 3
Source: RefSeq, a predicted model, not a curated record